CCUCUUGUGGCGUAGGAGUAACGCGCCCUAUUUAGAGAUCAGGGUGUCGUGAGUUCGAUUCUCAUCGAGAAGA
This is a non-coding RNA of Aedes aegypti (yellow fever mosquito), 73 nucleotides long. Lineage: Eukaryota; Metazoa; Arthropoda; Insecta; Diptera; Culicidae. The record is from Rfam.